GGGCUUAUGGCUCAGUCUGGCAACGCUUUCGUCCGUUGACACCGAAAGGCGACUCCUGGUCUUCGACCGGAGUCCCCAGCAAAGCAACAAUGAAACGUUGGACAAUAGAGCAGCCGACUCUUAAUCGGCAGGUCAGGGGUUCGAAUCCCCUUGGGCCCA
RNAcentral lists this transfer RNA (159 nucleotides) under Nanobdellota archaeon. RNAcentral describes it as "tRNA-Lys". It matches the Rfam family "tRNA". From Rfam's summary of the family: Transfer RNA (tRNA) molecules are approximately 80 nucleotides in length. Their secondary structure includes four short double-helical elements and three loops (D, anti-codon, and T loops). The record is from RNAcentral. Lineage: Archaea; Nanobdellati; Nanobdellota.